AAACAAGCCCUAAUUCGAAAAUCCCUGGUUCGAGAAUCUCUUCGAGGAAAUCUCCAGAUCUCAGGAAGGUGUCUGUAGAUGAAGAGAGUCCUGAGCUAGGACCGUUGUUAUUAAAGCAAGCGAGAGAGAUGGUUUCAUCCGGCGAGAACCUAAACAAAGCUCUUGAUUUAGCGUUACGUGCGGUGAAAGCUUUCGAGAAACGCGCCGAAGGAGAGACGCAACAAGGGUUGAAUCUGGUCAUGUCUCUACAUAUAUUGGCAGCUACCUACGCCGGUUUAGGCAAGUACAACGAAGCGGUUCCCGUUCUCGAACGGUCCAUCGAGAUACCGAUGAUAGAAGACGGAGAGGACCACUCCUUAGCUAAAUUCGCAGGGUGCAUGCAGCUCGGCGACAUGUACGGCCUAAUGGGCCAAGUCGAAAACUCUCUUCUCCUCUACACAGCGGGUUUGGAGAUACAAAGACAAGUUCUCGGAGAAACAGACCCACGAGUGGGCGAAACUUGUCGGUACCUAGCAGAAGCACACGUCCAAGCGAUGCAGUUCGAAGAAGCCUCAAGGCUUUGCCAAAUGGCUUUAGACAUACACAAAGAGAACGGCUCCACAGCUACAGCUUCCAUCGAAGAAGCCGCGGAUAGAAAACUAAUGGGCCUUAUCUGCGACGCCAAAGGUGACUACGAGGUGGCCCUCGAGCAUUACGUUCUAGCCAGCAUGGCUAUGUCCUCACAGAACCAUAGAGAAGACGUUGCGUCUAUAGAUUGUAGUAUCGGUGACGCCUACAUGUCUCUAGCUAGGUUUGACGAGUCGAUAUUCUCGUACCAGAAGGCCUUGGCUGUGUUUAAACAGUCCAAAGGUGAGAAUCAUUCCUCGGUUGCUUCGGUCUACGUCAGGCUUGCUGAUCUAUACAACAAGAUAGGGAAGCUGAGAGAUUCGAAGUCCUACUGCGAAAACGCGCUAAGGAUAUACCUAAAGCCGUCUCCGGGGACUCCGAUGGAAGAGGUGGCGACGGGUUUUGUAGAGAUCUCCGCGAUUUAUCAGUCGAUGAACGAGCUUGACCAAGCGCUUAAGCUGCUGAGACGCGCGUUGAAGAUAUAUGUGAAUGCUCCGGGUCAGCAGAACACGGUUGCUGGUAUUGAGGCUCAGAUGGGUGUGAUCUCUUACAUGAUGGGGAACUAUCCUGAGUCUUAUAACAUCUUCAAGAGCGCGGUUUCGAAGUUUCGAAACAGCGGAGAGAAGAAGACGGCUAUGUUUGGGAUUGCUUUGAACCAAAUGGGACUUGCGUGCGUCCAACGUUACGCGAUCAACGAAGCUGCGGAUUUGUUUGAAGAGGCGAAAGGCAUUCUUGAGAAUGAGUAUGGGCCGUACCAUCCCGACACGUUGGCGGUUUACAGUAACCUUGCCGGAACAUACGACGCAAUGGGCAGGUAUAUUACUAACACAUCUUUUUAGUUUAGGUUAUGUUUUUGAAGUUUCUUGCGGUGUAAGCAAUGUGUUUUUUGGUUUGUAGGUUAGAGGAUGCGAUAGAGAUACUAGAGUAUGUUGUUGGGACAAGAGAGGAGAAGCUUGGGACGGCGAAUCCGGAGGUUGAGGAUGAGAAGCAGAGGCUAGCUGCGUUGUUGAAAGAAGCUGGAAGAGGAAGGAUCAAAAGAAACAGAGCACUUCUUACAAUCUGGAGCUGAGGCAUCUCGUGGGAGGAGAUGUCGGAGAGAGAAAAAAAGACGUUGUCUUGGAGAAGAAGGAAGAAAGCAACAAGGAAAGUAAAAACAGAGAAGGUAGCUUGAGCCACAAGAAACCAGAGAAACUUGCGAAAACAAGCCCUAAUUCGAAAAUCCCUGGUUCGAGGAUCUCUUCGAGGAAAUCUCCAGAUCUCAGGAAGGUGUCUGUAGAUGAAGAGAGUCCUGAGCUAGGACCGUUGUUAUUAAAGCAAGCGAGAGAGAUGGUUUCAUCCGGCGAGAACCUAAACAAAGCUCUUGAUUUAGCGUUACGUGCGGUGAAAGCUUUCGAGAAACGCGCCGAAGGAGAGACGCAACAAGGGUUGAAUCUGGUCAUGUCUCUACAUAUAUUGGCAGCUACCUACGCCGGUUUAGGCAAGUACAACGAAGCGGUUCCCGUUCUCGAACGGUCCAUCGAGAUACCGAUGAUAGAAGACGGAGAGGACCACUCCUUAGCUAAAUUCGCAGGGUGCAUGCAGCUCGGCGACAUGUACGGCCUAAUGGGCCAAGU
Molecule: long non-coding RNA, 2219 nt
Filed under: Brassica napus (rape)
Lineage: Eukaryota; Viridiplantae; Streptophyta; Magnoliopsida; Brassicales; Brassicaceae
Description: long non-coding RNA (BNAP_LNC005523)
Source: RNAcentral